UAAAGUUGCAGAUUUCACUAGUGUAUAUA
RNAcentral lists this small RNA (29 nucleotides) under Bombyx mori (domestic silkworm). Its description in RNAcentral is "ovarian small RNA-18424". Lineage: Eukaryota; Metazoa; Arthropoda; Insecta; Lepidoptera; Bombycidae. The record is from RNAcentral.